CCCUGCCAUUUGUACACACCGCCCGUCGCUCCUACCGAUUGAAUGUUCCGGUGAACACUCGGGAGCCGUGACGUCGUCGAGGCAACUCGGUCGGCGUCCAUCGGCAAACUUGUGUAAACCUUAACAUU
Molecule: ribosomal RNA, 128 nt
Filed under: uncultured eukaryote
Lineage: Eukaryota
Description: partial small subunit ribosomal RNA
Rfam family: Eukaryotic small subunit ribosomal RNA
Source: RNAcentral